GACGAACGCUGGCGGCGUGCUUAACACAUGCAAGUCGAACGGAAAGGCCUGCUUUCCCUUGUGGAUUGCGGGUACUCGAGUGGCGAACGGGUGAGUAACACGUGAGUGAUCUGCCCCCAACUUGGGUAUAAGCCUGGGAAACUGGGUCUAAUUCCCGAUAGGACUGCAGGGUGGUGCCUGUGGUGGAAAACGAUUUUCUAGUGGUUGGGGAUGAGCUCGCGGCCUAUCAGCUUGUUGGUGGGGUAAUGGCCUACCAAGGCGGCGACGGGUAGCCGGCCUGAGAGGGUGGACGGCCACAUUGGGACUGAGAUACGGCCCAGACUCCUACGGGAGGCAGCAGUGGGGAAUAUUGCACAAGGGGCGGAAGCCUGAUGCAGCGACGCCGCGUGGGGGAUGACGGCCUUCGGGUUGUAAACUCCUUUCGACCGAGAGGAAGCCACCUGGUUGGAAGGGUGGUGACGGUAGUGGUAGAAGAAGCACCGGCUAACUACGUG
Molecule: ribosomal RNA, 494 nt
Filed under: uncultured bacterium
Lineage: Bacteria
Description: partial 16S ribosomal RNA
Rfam family: Bacterial small subunit ribosomal RNA
Source: RNAcentral